GUGGCCGCGUGCGCGCCGUCGGGUGCCAUUCGGUGCGCGCGUCCUUAUGAAAGCGCUUCCGCGCUUGGAAAGGGCGCGUUCCUGUUGCGAACGGACCGAAGUACUUUUCUGGGCGACUUCUGGCGGUGCUCAGUACGAACGGCACCCCGCUUAGCUUUUAGAAGUUGGAUUGCUGUUAGUGCCCCUGUUCUGCUUCAGUCCCUGCUCUCCCCCUGUCCCAGAACGGUCUCGGAGCCCUUCCUUUCCCCCGCUGGGCUUUUCUCGUGCUUCGCUUCCUCUGAGGUUCUAGGCGGGCGCAGCGGCUCGCGGUCCGUCCGUACAGCUGCCGCCUGCGCUGCGUUGGUGUUAGAGCGGGCGAAAGACAGAGCCCAGCGCUCACCGAAGCGAAGUGCAGCUCCUCUCCGCUCUGAUCCUGAGCUCCGCGGUACCUGAUUUGCAUUUUCAUCACUUCGUUCAGGUGACCCAGAUGAGCAAAGAGUAUGACAAAAAGAUUUCCUUUCAUCUGUAUAAAUACUUCAGGAUUGCUUUGCGUAGAAGGAAGACAACAGUUGCAGGUGGAAAGCUUAGUGCUGUCAUUAUCACCACAAGGGAUGGGAGUCAUGAGCUGAAAUGCAUGUGGCUGCAGUCAUCUCAGAUAUUCACCAGUAUCCUGCCCAAGUCUGGAAGGCCAUUUGUGCUACCUGGCAGAAUUGAAGAUGAUGGAAAAUGAGCAGUCCUUUUAGAUCUUACUCUCUGCUGUCAUCUUUGUUUCUUGCACUCUUUUCUUCAUUCUGUGCUGUAGUUGAAUGCAUCUUCAGACUUACUGUGUCAACAGUCAGAUUUGGAGAUCUUUUUGAGACGUGCUGAUGCUGACAUUUUCAAUGAGUAAAGCUGUCCAGAACACUUCAAUACAACGCUCUUCUGGCAGCGCUGCGAGUGGUGCAUCAGUGUAUUGAAUGAAGGCUGAGACAUUAAAAAUAGAGUGUGAGAAAAAAGAAAAAACAUCAACAAGAGCAGCUUUCUCAGCAAGGAAGAUUGGCCUCUACACUGAAAGACCUUUGUCAGUGGCAUAUGCAUUUCAGAGGACUUCCACCUUCUUUGUACAAGCUUGGUGAAAUUCAUCAACACACGCAGCAUCUCUGGUGGUAGAGAAAUAUUGUAGAUUAAGGACGUGACAGUGGAAGCCCUCAUCCUUCAAGCUGAAGACUCCUCCGAGCUCCUCAGCACUAGACAUAAAUUUUUGUAAACAGUUACAAAAUGAAUUAACAGAACCCAAAAGCAUUGGCCCAGAACUUGACCCAAACACAAGCUCAGAGAUUCUCAAUGUUUUUGUACCAGAACUUGUUGGCAAGACUUUCUCUUCCCCUCCCCUUCUGCCUGCCUCCUCUUUCACCUUCUUCCUACCCAUCACUCACUGGCAUUGAUUCCACACUGUUUGUGCCUCUGCUUCUUCCCUGCACAUCUGCUGGCUCUGGCAAAGGCUCCAGGGGUGGCCUCCCUGCCCUUCAAGCCAAGCUCUCAGCUCCUUCACAUCUCUAUAAGUACACAAUUAUUAACACCGCAAGAUGAUUCUUCCUCAUCUAUCACUUCAAGUCAUUGGGGCAUAAAGAAUGGCUAGCAGACUGGGUCAGCUCCAAGGACACUGACAUGUCCUCUGACUUGUGCAAUACUGAAUUAAUAUUUUUACCUUGUGGAGUGGUCAAUGUCACAGCCCUUUUCAUUCUCAUUUCUUCUGAUUUGAGAACAGAGCAUAUUUGAGGAUAGAUACUGUGGUACUUGUAACCAGAUGAGGAGCAGACAUAGAACUGCUCUACCUUUGCAUGCCUUGGUUUUAAGGAUCGCCACUUACGAUUGUUAAAUGUAGGUCAGACAUUCUGCCAUACUCUUCUUCACUUCUUAAGUAACUGUUCGUGUGUCUGAUGUUUAUGGAAUGCAGUGGAACUAUCAGUGUAUCAGAAACUACCAGUGGAGAUGGGCUGAGGCACCAAGAUCAGACAGAGCUUUUACCUCUGUAGGCCCAUGACCAUGACUAUCCAGAGAACAGUAUAGAGCUGGAUUGUUCAAGGUAAGCCACACGAACAGGUCUGAACUCCUAGGUUUCAGUAUAGCAAUAUACUGCUCUGUGCAAUGUUCACAUACAGCCAAUAUGAACCAAGGGACUGAAUUAAACCUAGUUUUGACAGAUAGCUAUUACUCCAUUUUUGUUGCUUAUUGAUAAAAAGGGACCUGCCAAUCUAUUUUAGAUUCUGGACCUACAGAAUAUGGACUGUAAUAUCUUAUAUUCUAUCGUGUUGGGUUUUGUUUGUUUGUUUUUAAUUACCCAUCUUAUUAAACUAGAAGCUGUAGUUUCUAUUUUGUACAAAAGAUAAAUUGGAGAUGGCAUGGAGCAGUGGAAGAGCAAAAGCCUUUAGACACUCUCCAAAAUUAGAGUUUGUGAAAUACUUUCCAAACAUCUGCAUGAGCAGUACUAUAUCAGCUUUCCAGCUGACUGCUUAAAAAAGAAGUCCUUUAAUCUAAACCAUGUUCCCUUGGAUUUCCUAAUGUAAUUAAUUCUUCAUCUUCUUUUUAUAUUUUGCCAGUGAGAAAUGGAUUAGCGGUAGUUACCACUGAAUCCUUUCCACUGUUUCUUUCAAUUUUGGCAUGAUGUUGUAGGUUUUCAUUGCAUGGGGAUCUCCUCAAACAAAGGAAAAUUGUGAAACUGUCAGAUCAGAUUUCAUGUAUUGCUCUUGGCAUUACAUUCACUAGACCCAGUACACAGUGAAUUUUGAAAGCCUCUGAUCUUUUAUAACCAUUUCCAGUCUUAUACAUACAUUUUAAGUUCCUCAUCUGCAGUCACUGGGAAUAUGAUUAUUAAAACUGAGGUAAUUUGGAUAUUUUCUUUCUGUAAAGAUAUAUAGAGUUAUCCAUUACACCAUUAAUCAUUACCAAUAUUUCAUUAACCUUUCUGCUACACUUCUCAUUAUUUUAUUAAUACUGUCUUGGUGUUUUUUUCUCUCACUUUUUUCAAAUUUCUGCUUUGGUUAUAUAAUAUGGUAGAGCUUAUAAUCAAGGUUCUUAGAUGGAGGAAUAGGAUAAUUUAAUUUAAUUUAUUUUCAUCACCUUCAGUUUUUAAGUCAGAUUAAUGCUUCCUUUUAUUAUUUUUUUUACUUUGUGGUUUUCUAAAGUGUUAUUUUAUCUCCAAGAAUCUUUGGUUUAAUACAUUUAUGUGCUUAUGUAAAUAGAAAAAAUGUUAAAAACUAUUUCAACAAAAAAGGACAUUGCAUUUUUAUAUAUCUCUGACGUAUAAGUUGGGAUAAAAUCAGUGGUUUUUUGGCUACUUUGGAGGGCAAAGUUAAGGCUUCUCAAGUAUUGAUCAGAAGGUGUGUUUAAGGGAAUGAACACUGACAAUGGGUUAGAGUUUUGAGCUUCUCUUAGCACUUUUAGCACAGUAAAUAUUUUCCUCCCUGACUUCUGUGUUGAUCUAGAGGCCUAACAAUCAUACAUUAGCACCUUAAUUUUUAUCAUCUUUUGGACUGGGGUAUGUGUGAUUUCUCUGCACCAUAGUGUUCCUCAUCAAUUCAAAGAAAUCAAUCAAACUGAGGCUAUGUUGACCUUUUGAGGCUUAAAUAGAAGAUCGCUCGACAAAACUCUCAAAGUUUGUUAUUGUAUUGAUUCCUUUGGCCAACUCAAUAGGCCAGAGCUGAAAGAAUGAGUCUCAACAACUUGGGGUAUGGUCUAGCUUAAGUGAAAAGGCUAGGCUUGCUGGAGAACGUGAACAGACAGAAAUCCCUUGUUAUUGUGGGAUCAUAGCUCAGCUGUUUGUUUGAGAAAGCAAUCAGACAUGACUUCUUUUGGAAAAGAAUAAGUUUUCUGGAACAAUUGGCUGAGAUGAUAGAUUAUUCAGAUGUCUUCUGAAAGCAAACAAAACAUUUUAUCUUCAAUGCUUAUAUUGUAAACAACUUGCCCUCACUUCUGAGUCCUCACCGUUAUUUCUGUCAUGCAUACAAGCACUUUGAUUUUAAUGGGAGAGUUUUUGUAAAUGUGGCUUAAACUUCUGAUCUUCUGUUCUUAACUGUACAGACCAUAGACAAGUCAGCACAGAAUAUCUGUGUCCAUUUGUUGUGAUUAUGGUGGACAGUUAUUGCAGCAGUCAUAUUUAGGAGAUUAGUAACUUUCCUAGAUGGGUUAUUUCUAUUCUGUUUUUAAUUCCUUCCUAUUUUUCUUUCUAGACCUACUUGUCUAUCAGUAUGAAUCUGCACCCCAAUACUAUAUGAAACAUCAGUUUGUUUCUAUUUUUCUGCACUUUGUUUCUGAUGUACUAUUCAAAUUCCAUUUGUUUUUCCUAGCUGAGAUGAAAGCCCGUCUUUGUCUUCAUACCAAAUGUUGGCUUUCUAGCUCUGUGUGUCUUUUGACUGAUCCUGUUAUCAGUGCCAUAUCCCAAUCUUUUGAAAUUUCAGAUAGUAUAUUCAGGUCACACAUUAAUGUGGCUGCUUUUAUUUAUCUCUGUACAGCAUGCGUAACUGACAUUAUAUCUGCCAUCUUUCUUUGCGAACUGCUCUGCAUGAGGCAUGAGUAGAAUUUUCUUCAUUUUCUAUCUUCACAUUAAGCAUUUCUACCUCUGUUUCCUGUUUUUUAUCAGAUUACUAUUUCUUCUCUGCAUACUGAAAUACCAUCGUGUUUCAGUUUGAGUAAGCUGGUGUUAUCCUUCCAAAGCAAAAAAAAAUCUUCUCUAACACAGUUGUACCUCAAGAGUGUGGUUGGGUUGAGCUGGAACAUGUCAGAAACAAAUCCUUCUCAAGCCAUCAGGGAAUAAUUCCUCAUGGAUCCUUCUCUUAACUUAGAGUCUGUUUCUUACUUCAGAAAAAUUCCAAAUUUAGCUCAGCUAUAUUUUUCUGCAAAGGGAAGAUAUGUGUAAUGUCUCUGAGAGCAGGACAUUGAGACAUUUUCUCUUAAUGAAGUCUGUGGAGAGUGUUGCCUUUCCUGAUCUUAACAACAAGCAUGUUGUUAAAACAGAAACUCUGCAAAUCAUUAUCUAGUUUUAUUUUUCUUUCAAAGAAGGUAAAAACAACCAGACAAAACAAAACAAAAAAAUCUGAUCAAAAUGUCCAUCCAACAAUAUCUAAAAAGAAACUGUUAGAUGGAUUGUUUUCUUCUGUAACAACAAUGACCAAUUAAGGAAACUCAUGCAUUAGCUUUUUGAUUCUCAGAGAAGAAACUCUAUAAUCUAAGAAAUGUUUUAGAUUUAGAAAAUUUGUAUAGAACAAAAGUUAAUGCUCAGAUUGGGCUUCCAUGGUAUGCAUAUGCCAGCUUUAGCACUCUGCAUUAAAUUUUUGUAUCUGAAAAGUAGUUUUUGGAAGCAAAUAUCACAGCACUAAAUAAAGAACAGUGAAGUAAACAGAAAUAUGAUAAGGUUAUCAGUGAGUACAGCCUGAAGGAAAGUAGUCUUUAGUAGGUAGAAAGGAAAGCGUUUUAGGUAGGAGUUCCAGAGCAUCAAACUUCAAGUGAUUUGGGCAGAAAAUCUGUGAGGUUGGCUCACAGUGGUUUACCUCGUGACCAAGCACAUCAGGGAAGCUGCUAUACAGCAUCAAGUUCAGCAUGGAGAUUAUUACACCACUUAACCUUAUCCUUAGGUCAGACCCUCCUAGAUCCAUUUGCUGGCGCUUGGUUUCCUCCCGCUUCCAAAAGCCCUUGAGAUGGUCUGAAAAUAAAGGGCCUGUUUUACUUCAAAUCAUUUAGCAUGGAUCUAGUUUUGAUCUUGUAACCUUUAGCAAAGCAGGGCAGCACAAGAGCAUUGCAACAUUACUGUGGUAUAGAGUAAGUGACUUUGUGUGACACUGGUAACCCUGGUAUUCGAGAUACCAUUUCCUAUUAUCAGGACUUCAAUCAUAUUGCUAGCCGGUAAAGUCAGUAAUUUCAGCUUCCGGAAGUGAAUAUGAUUCUCACAGAAUAAUGACUGAACUUAAUUGUAUUUCAUCUUUAAUGGUUUUUGAGAUUCAUUCACAGGAAAGGAAAGGAAAGGAGAGGAAAGG
Meleagris gallopavo (turkey) is the source of this 5987-nucleotide non-coding RNA. Lineage: Eukaryota; Metazoa; Chordata; Aves; Galliformes; Phasianidae. The record is from RefSeq and is a predicted model, not a curated record.